Molecule: unclassified non-coding RNA, 241 nt
Filed under: Hevea brasiliensis (rubber tree)
Lineage: Eukaryota; Viridiplantae; Streptophyta; Magnoliopsida; Malpighiales; Euphorbiaceae
Source: RNAcentral
GUACAAUGAGAGGAAUAAUGCCUAUACAUGCCAAUCAUUGUCAGCACAAGCAAAUAACAUACUAAGCCUCAAGAAGUAUGAAAAUAGAAUAUCCAAUUAAUAUAAUAUUUUAGCAGUGUUAUGCACAAAAUUCAAUUUAUCAUGCAAUAACACAGUAUUUUUUCUAUGGCAAUAUGACCUAAAUUGAGGAAAAAUUGCCAACUAGAGAUGUUACCACAGAAAUUUACACCUAGAGUCCAAC